This 253-nucleotide ribosomal RNA is filed under the name uncultured bacterium. RNAcentral describes it as "partial 16S ribosomal RNA". It matches the Rfam family "Bacterial small subunit ribosomal RNA", at positions 524 to 776 of the family's 1533-position model. The record is from RNAcentral.
UACGUAGGGGGCAAGCGUUGUCCGGAAUCAUUGGGCGUAAAGCGCGUGUAGGCGGCUGAGUAAGUCUGCUCUGAAAGCCCGGGGCUCAACCCCGGGAGGCGGGUGGAUACUGCUCAGCUCGAGUCCGGAAGAGGAGUGUGGAAUUCCUGGUGUAGCGGUGAAAUGCGCAGAUAUCAGGAGGAACACCAAUGGCGAAGGCAGCACUCUGGGACGGUACUGACGCUGAGGAGCGAAAGCAUGGGGAGCGAACAGG